Molecule: long non-coding RNA, 805 nt
Organism: Cloeon dipterum
Lineage: Eukaryota; Metazoa; Arthropoda; Insecta; Ephemeroptera; Baetidae
Exons: 3
Source: RefSeq, a predicted model, not a curated record
UUGCUUUCAUUUUACUUUUGCCUCAGUAUUUGAACUGUCCACCUUAUUGUCACGUCUUGUCGUCUUUGUGACUUGGUGUGCAUUGGCUGAAUAGUAUGGGCAUGAUAAAAAAGUUAUUUGUCGAAGAAUUCAGUAAGACGCCAACGCGAUACAAAGUUUUACGGUUAUUUCUUGGUGCGGUUGCUGCCGUCUUUGUUGCCUGGGGUAUCUAUGCAAUCGUCAGAAACAGGCUCGCUGCGUCAAAUCUCACCUAGAGACGAGUUCGUGUUUCGUGUUUGUUCCUAUAUCAACCCUAUCAACACACCUGUGCCUGUGGCUGCUGCAUGUGUACAUAUGGAAGCAAAAGCGAUUGAACUAAAUAGCACAAUGCCGCAAGAGACGAACAUCAUGGCCAUCAAUAUGCAUUUCUUCAAAAGGUGCGAGGGAAGGUCGGUGCCAUCGACUUCAAAAACCGUGCGCGCAUCACCCUAAGGAGGCAGCUGCGAGGCGACGCGAGCCACCGGCACCAGCGUCUACAGCCGCCGCAAAAGCGCGCUGUGUUUUCGACCGGCGUGCAUUUUCCUAUAGAGUGGAACGACCUACCACCUGAGCUUAAGGACUGCACCGUUGCUGAAUUUCCCUCCCUCUAUAAGAAGCACCUCUGGCAAGUAUGCAGUGAACGUGAUCAGUGAUAUACAAAGUAUUUUGCGACUCAGUGCGGCGUGAUAUCCCCAGUGAGAUGGAUCGUUUAAGCAAUUUUUCGCUAACACUGUUUGCCCUUCCUUGCUAUGUUUGACCUGAUAAUUUAUUGUAUCUUAUUAUAUUU